GCAGGUUUUGUUUUAAACAAAACAAAAACCGAGCAGUGUCUCCACCAGCAAGUCAAGAGAUCUUAACACUCACAUGAUGAUUUGUGUAGGGUUUUGUUUUGUCCAGUGAGCCAUUUUAAAACAUAAAUUAUAAGAUUGAUACAAAGGAGAAAAAUAAUCACUAAACUGUUCUUCACCGAUUCCUGAUAAGCCCCUGAUCCUGUCUUCUGACCCCACAAAUUGUCAGGGUUCGGUUCAUUAGGACUUAUUUUCCCCAGGAACACUCGAUUAAUACACUUUUAACACAGCCCGACUUUCCUGUACUAGAGAGUUGCAUGCUCCUACAACACUUCCCUCACCCUUUUAGCCCCCACUGAAUAAAGGAACCACCCGAGUAAAGAUGGGUAAGAAUGGGCUCAGAGGUGCUAAUACCCAAAGAGCUGGGAUUUAAAACUCGCCCGCCUAGGCUUCCACCCCUCUCCCACUCAUCUAGCGAUUGUUUGAUUAAAUCAGACUCCACUUGAUAAAAACAAUAGCUCAUUAACGCUUCCCUCCUCCUCCGGUGUGUUGUGAAAUGGUGACAUCCUCUCCCUUGACCUCCGUCUCCUUUUCUGUCUUUCCAUCCCCCUGAAAAAUGAUGCCGCAGCUCUGAUUGAAUUUUAUUCCUUCCUGACCUGGCCGGCUUUUAUGGCACGAGACACCAUCAAUCGCGACCUAACGCGACGUUUGUUUAUGACUUUGGAAAGAAGAGAAUGGCUUUAUGAGCCUGAUCAUAAUUAAAACUGGAGGGACAAAAUUCAUCCCACCACCGCGCUACCUUUGUGCGUAUUUGCCAGCACAUUAAAACACUCCUGAGCUCGAGCCUCUGCAAACACACAGAGAGCUGGGGUAAGCGGCAAGAGGGAGAGGAUAUUUGGAAUAGACACAGAUAAUGAUCGAGGAAGAUUCUCGGCUAGCACAGAAAAUGGUCCUAUUCCACUACAGCUGUUACUCCAGCCAGGAAAAAGACUGCACCUUCCGUCUCAGUGUCUCAAAGUGCUUUACAAAUAUUAAUGGACGAAGCCUCACAACAUCUCAGCGAGCUCUGCAAAGAAGGUGAAGGUGAUACAGAAAGCGAAUGGGGAAACAAACCAGAGAGACAGAUCUCCGCACUAGACGUGCUUACAGAACGGCCAAUUUCUGAGUGUGGCGGUGCUGAGGCUGCAGGGCCUCCUCCUUUCUCACAGUCUCCCAGGGCUGGUGUUUCAAUGAAAGUGAAACAACCCUGCAAGCUACUGGCUACUCCCCCUUUCCCAUCUUCAUCCAGGAGUUAUUUUGUACUCAGCGCAGAAAUGGAAACUGCUUGUGAAGAUGGCUGAUUACAUUUAGAGUGGGAUGGCGGGGGAGGGAGCACUCCUACUGAUGCCAUGGUUUCCAGGAUAAAAUAACAGGCAGUUCAUUCUUGCCAUGGAUUCACUGGCUGCUGCUGUCUCCUUCCACAGCAGCCAAAUGCUGGUACAUUUAAAAAAUUCAUCUACUGCUUACAACACAGACAUCAGCUAUAUCAUGCAUAUGUGCAGCCUGUGGAACAGAACUCAUCAAGACCUUCUGCUCCAAAACCAAACAGGCCUGCUACCUGAGCUAAUGGAGAAUGUCUGAUAGCUAUGGUAGUAAUUGUAGAAGGGGCAUAUGCUCUAUGGGCCAUUCAUUUGCUCAAGGGAGCCAGUCUCUCUCAUGCUCUCUCACACACAAGCACACGAGCAGCUCUGACCAAUAGGGGGUAGUAGUGAUAGACGUUCUAGUCAUUACAUUACAUAAGCGACUGAACACUGUUCCAGAACAUCAUGAGUUUUUGAAUAAAGUGUAGCUAUGUAGAAUCUCCGAAAUGAGGGCACCUCAGGUGAAGAUUUGGGAGGUUGAGCACUUGUAUUGCUUUUGAAUCUGCCUAAUCUGGUUUUAUUGCCUUAUACCUGGCACCCUGGAGAAGGCCAACACAGAGAUUAGAGCUUGGAAAAAGUAUAUUGCCAUUUACUCUUUUUCAAAAUAAUCACAGGAGGAAAAAUGCUCCCUUCAGAAACAUGCAUGCACCUUCCAGGCAAGCCAGUGAGGUUGUGUACAUGUAUCGGUGGAAAAGGAUUUAGACAUGAGUACUAAGGCUAAGAUUUCCCAAACACAGACUAGCCCACUUAAUAUUAACAUGCCUAAGAGACAACCACACAGUUUUCCAUUCACCAUUCAUUUUGCGUUAAUUCAGUACCUGCCUGUUUAAUAUUGAUUUAUUUUAAACACUAUCUUGUUUAAUAGCAAUUGAAAAUCACUGAUACCUGAGCCAAACAGCUCAUUGUGUCAAUUAUUGCCCCACAGUACAAACAUUCCCCCUCCCCCACCAAUUAAUUACACUAUGGAAAACAACUGUGUAGAACAAUGAUAUGGACUGACUGGAAUGAUGAUUUCACUUUUUUGUUUUAUGGAUCCAAUCUGAUGCACACUGGAGUCAGUGGGAGUUCUUCCACUGGCUUAGGUAACUAUCAGCUCAGGCUUUAUUGCUCUCUGGUGAGUUCACACAAAACAGCUGGGGAAAAGAAGACAACCACACCUGUUAUCCCAGUGGAUAGGUGAGUCACCCAGGAUAUGGGAGACUCCCCUCCCCAGUUCAAGUAUCCCUCCACCUGAGGGGAAGAAGGCAUUUGAAAAGGGAUCUGCCACCUCUCAGGUGAGUGCAGGGCCGGCGCUUCCACUAGGCGACCAUAGGCAGUCGCCUAGGGCGGCAGGAUAUGGGGGCGGCAUUUUGCCAUCCUCUGCGGAAAUUUGGUGGCAGGGAGUUCUUCUGCUCCGGGUCUU
Chrysemys picta bellii (western painted turtle) is the source of this 2799-nucleotide non-coding RNA. NCBI's taxonomy places the organism in Eukaryota, Metazoa, Chordata, Testudines, Emydidae. The record is from RefSeq and is a predicted model, not a curated record.